This 493-nucleotide ribosomal RNA is filed under the name uncultured bacterium. Its description in RNAcentral is "partial 16S ribosomal RNA". It matches the Rfam family "Bacterial small subunit ribosomal RNA", at positions 29 to 507 of the family's 1533-position model. The record is from RNAcentral.
AGUGAACGCUGGCGGUAGGCCUAACACAUGCAAGUCGAACGGCAGCACAGUAAGAGCUUGCUCUUACGGGUGGCGAGUGGCGGACGGGUGAGGAAUACAUCGGACUCUACUUUUUCGUGGGGGAUAACGUAGGGAAACUUACGCUAAUACCGCAUACGACCUACGGGUGAAAGCAGGGGAUCUUCGGACCUUGCGCGAUUGAAUGAGCCGAUGUCGGAUUAGCUAGUUGGCGGGGUAAAGGCCCACCAAGGCGACGAUCCGUAGCUGGUCUGAGAGGAUGAUCAGCCACACUGGAACUGAGACACGGUCCAGACUCCUACGGGAGGCAGCAGUGGGGAAUAUUGGACAAUGGGCGCGAGCCUGAUCCAGCCAGACCGCGUGGGUGAAGAAGGCCUUCGGGUUGUAAAGCCCUUUUUGUUGGGAAAGAAAAGCUGCAGGUUAAUACCCCGCUGUUCUGACGGUACCCAAAGAAUAAGCACCGGCUAACUUCGUG